This 1393-nucleotide long non-coding RNA is filed under the name Castor canadensis (American beaver). RNAcentral's name for it is "lncRNA (ENSCCNG00000015003.1)". The record is from RNAcentral. Lineage: Eukaryota; Metazoa; Chordata; Mammalia; Rodentia; Castoridae.
GCGCCGCCAGUCGGUGAGACGCGCCUCAACCCGGAAGUGUGAGAGGCGAAAUCUGCCUAGCAACCGGGGAAGCCGGGCUGUGAAGCGGGCAAUUUCAGUGUGAGACGGAGCGGCGAGACCGAGCGGCGCGACUCCCGAGUGCGGCGCGCAGCUCCUCCCGCCCGGGGUCAGCGCCCCGGCGCGCGCACGCGCAUCCCCGCCGCCCGAGCGCGUCCCGCGCCGCUCGCGCGCAGUCGGUCGGUCGCUCGCUCGCUCGCUCGCUCGUCCGUCGUCCUGUCGCCGUCGACCGCCGCACGGCGCCACCUGAAGGAGCCGUCCCGGGGCCCAGCCGCCCGCAGCCGGGGCGCCGCGCAACUUCGGUUGGUCAGCACGUUGAUGCAAGUUGCCUCUUGACGUAGCAAAUUGCCUCUCAUGGCCGCCUGGUAGGACCAGCAUCCCGGACCCUGAGGCCAGGUGAGUGCAUAGGGUCUGGCAUCUGUGGAGUGAAGUGGUCUGACUUGUCCAGCUGACCUCAGUCCUUGGCUGCUGAACUGAGUGCUGCUUCUGAAGCCGACAGCUUCUUCGUUGAGAAGACAGGGAAGCAGGUCCUUGUGGGGCUGCUGAGGCUUGGGGAAAGAUGACGUUCACAUUGGCCACUCAUUGUGCAGCCCAGGACUAAGUAAGAGGGCUGUCCUCUGAGGAUCAGGGGCAGAGGAUAAUCCUGGCGGGUGGCCUUUGCCCUCCAGCUCUUUUGCGAUUUCCCAAUGCUGCCCUAAAUGGUUAGAAUUUUUCCUUAAUCGCUGCCUAGAGUGGGGCCCUGCAGUGUGCUUGGAGGUGGUCACCCUCGCCCCACCCGGUGCCAGCUCAGGUGGCCUGUGUGGGGCUCUUGGGGGUUGGGGGCGGAUUGCAAGGACUGCCUGAUCUGGCAGAGCAAAGCUGCACAGCUGUGUGGGAGCGAUUCUCUUUCACCGUCAAGAGCCGGCAGUGACUUUUUGGCCCAGGGGCCAUCUACCUCAAGAAGAAUAUAGUCCUGAGCAGCGUCCUUGAACUCUGAGGCAGCUCAGUGACCUCCUGGGUCAGCUGCUUUCUUUUGCAGACUGUGAUACACUUGGCCCAGAGGUGGCAGGUAGCUCGCCCAGGGAUUCAUCCUCCUCUAAUGGUGUCUUACCAGCUACACAGGGUGAAAUUUGGCCACUCUUAACGUGCCUGCUGUGCUGAAUACAGUACUUGACAAGUGCUGGGGAUUAGUUUGGUUUUUAUUUUUGUUUCUGAGACAGAGUCUGGCUAUAUAGUCCAGUCCGACCUUAAACUCGCUGUCCUGCUGCCUCAGCCUCUGGAUGGAGCCACCCCUGCACCUGGCUUAAUUCAUCCAUUUAUAGGUACAUUUUCUGUAUCCAGGAGUUGUUUGGCCAUC